AGGCGUUAAAACGAUACCGAUCUUGCACACAAAUUUCCCAAUAUUUUACAAUUAAACCUCAAUGUCAUUUGUAACUUAGAACUUUCUAAUUGUGAAAUGAUUUUCAUGAAAAAAAAAUUGUUAUGGCUCAAGAUACCGAAAGAUCAAUAAAUAGUGGAAACCACGCAUAAAGACUCGAUAGCACAUGCAUUGACUCAAUUAACACUAAACAAUUAAAUGAAAAUGAAAAUAAAUAAAAUAAUAAAUCUACCUAAGAAAAU
RNAcentral lists this long non-coding RNA (260 nucleotides) under Lathyrus oleraceus (garden pea). Its description in RNAcentral is "Pisum sativum (pea) long non-coding RNA (PSAT_LNC003053)". Lineage: Eukaryota; Viridiplantae; Streptophyta; Magnoliopsida; Fabales; Fabaceae. The record is from RNAcentral.